This is an RNA transcript of Onychostoma macrolepis, 7108 nucleotides long. RefSeq lists it as uncharacterized. The record is from RefSeq and is a predicted model, not a curated record. The transcript has 2 exons. NCBI's taxonomy places the organism in Eukaryota, Metazoa, Chordata, Actinopteri, Cypriniformes, Cyprinidae.
UGUCAUUGUUGUAAAGGCUCCUUUAAGAGAGGGCUUUUAUUCUGACAUCAUAUGAGCGGUCUCGUUAGUUCAGCCGCUGUUGCCUGUUGAAGUGUACAUCUGUCGAGUCGAUCGCUGAAAGGACAUUUCUACUUGUUCUGUUGCGAUAUUUCCUGCAGCUGUUACCUCAAGGUGUUAGUUAUUGACCUACAAGUAAGCCUGUUCGCGUUAUUUUUGUGUUUGAGAUCGGUAUUGAGUUAUUUAUAACUGCGUCACCCGCACCUGUAUAGACAUGCCCGCAGCCAUCGUUUCUGUUAAUUUAGUUUAAUGAUUCUGCUCGCGAUGUGAUUAUUUCUUCUUUAUGGAUAUGGAUAUCACAGUUUGUUUUCCAUGAUACUGCGGUGACGUGAUAUUGAUUAUUUUGAGCUGUUUAUACCAAACUAGCGAUCGCAUUCUGAUGGGUCCUGAUUAUAGCCAUAUAUGGAGGGACGUUUAUCAUGUUAGAUGAUUGCUUAUAGUGCAUACUGUGAUACUUUUAUCCUCCCUUCUUGGAUUGUAUUGUUCACUGAGGAAUGGUACAGAUGAGGAUUUAGUGUACUUUGGCUGCCUUUAUGUACCAAUGGAUUUUUAUCAUUGUGUAUAUGCUUAAUUAUUGUUAUUCAUGACUGUUUAUUGUAUUUCUUGUAUUCCAGACUAACGCCUCUACUGCCUGUAAAUUGAUAAUAUUCUAUCAAUACAUCAUCGAAACCCAGUCACCUGUCUCCUCAUCCUUUAUAUUAUAUUGUGCUCUAACCGGCACCCAGGGGGUUCGCUCAUCCAAUUGCAAAUCAGAUCCUGACAGUCAAAGUCUCUCCAACAUUGUGGUCCUUCGAGCCGGAUGAGUGUUCCUUUCUGAAAUGAUGGACUCUGACGAGGAGAUUGUUGGCGGAGCACGCCCUAAACGCUUCACGCAUCCUCCAGCCUACCUAGAACAGUAUGAGGUGCAGUAUUCCCGAGGAAGACCUGUCUCAGAGCCUGGUGUGUCCCGCACUGUGGAGACGCCUGUCCCAGCCUGGUCCCUGUCCUUUCAGCCGUCUGUUGCCUUCCCUGGUGGUGACCGUCUCCACCCUGAUGGCUCGCAGAUCUUGUCAUCCAGUUAUCAGCCUACCCAGCCUGCUGUGUGCCCUCAGCUGGUCCCUUCCCCACCUUCAGCGGCUGAUUCAAUUGCUUCUGCUCAUCUCAGUGAGCUACAGCACCUACGUCACGAGCGUGCAGCCUUCGAAGCCGAUCUGAGAGAGUUGAGAGCAGUUCGUGCAGAAGUUCGAGAGUUGGUACAAGCAGCGCAGUCCCUUCGAGCAGACCUUAGCCAAGCUAGAGGUCAACCUCUGUUGCCGGGGCAGCCUUCAGCAUUGCGGUUGUCCAGUUCUCCAGUGAAGCCCUGUGUAUCCACUCCUGUGGUCGAUUGUGAUCCUUUCCCUGAUCUACCUCCGCCACCUUGGCCUGAGCCUAACGAAGCCUUGGCCAGACAGUUCGGAGCCCUCGAGUUGUCUGAUGCAGCUACUUCCUAUCGGCCUGUGGUCUCAGGGUCUCAGCAGAAUCCCGUAGUGCUCCCUACCACUCGCUCAUGCCCUCCUCAGCCUAGUGUUCCUGAUGCUGGUGAUUUCCCUCCACCUUCUACUCCUCAAGACCUUCGAGAGAUGCUCACUCCUAGUGUCAUGCCAGUGCCUGCCCACCACCAGGCAGCACCUCCCUCUCCUAGGGUCUCAGCCUUUCUCCCUCAGUCAGAGCCUAGGGUGCGCCCUGUAGUCCCUUCCUCUGAGUCUGUGUAUCGUGGCCCCCCGCCUACCAUCCCUAAGUUUUCGCAUCCAGAUCCUAGUGAGUUUGCUCGCCUUCGCAUAGCCCUGGAAAACCUGCUUCCCCCAGAUGGCACGGAGCUGUUUAAGUACCAGAUCCUAGUAGACCACCUUAAGCUCGAGGAAGCUAAGAUGAUAGCUGAUGCUAACUUGAAUUCCCCUACCCCCUUUACCGAUACCAUGUCAGCACUUUGUGACAAGUAUGGCCAGCCACAUCAGUUAGCCUUGAGGAGGAUAGCUAGUGUCUUGGACAGUCCUGACGUUAGACGAGAUGACAUCCCAGCCUUCCAGAGAUUCGCUCUCCAAGUCCAGUCCCUAGUUGGCUUGUUGAGAACCUUAGGGCGUGAUGGGGAGCUCGAGUUGAGUUGUGGUUCCCAUGUCGCACGCCUUUUAAGCAAACUUCCCCCAGAGCAGAGAGCGGAGUUUCGUCGCCACAUGUUUCGUCAACCUGGUUCUACACCUAACCUUGUUGACCUUUCUAAUUGGCUUCGUUAUGAGACCUGGUGCCAUAGUUAUGAUGCAGAGUUGACCACUAAGAGCUCACAUUCUGGCAAGAGAUCCGUUGCUAUCCUGCAUGGAGUUGGAGCAUCCUCAGCCUCAACCACAUGCUUGUCACCUUCCCCAGUUGAGUCUUCCAUGCCUCGUAGAGGUUCCAUGCAGCCAGCGAAGCCUGUUAGAAUGAAGCGCUAUUGUCCAUUCUGCGGUGCGUCUGAGCAUUACCUGAGUCAGUGUGCUUCCUUCGCCCAGCUUACGCCUGAUCAAGUUAAGACCUGGAUCCGUAAAAACAAUCGCUGUUGGCGCUGUGCCAGAUGCCACCACGCUGCCCAAUGUGAUCUGAAGAAGCCCUGCAGUCUUUGCCGUGGCCUACAUCUUCGUUCCCUUCACGGCGUGAAUGUCAGUCCUUCCUCUACUGAGGAUUCUGCUACUGUGGAGAAGAGUUGCUUCACAAGCUCCUCCUCAGACAGGUUCUUCUUGGAUAAGCCUUCGGUUAGCGGCCGUGUGAUGCUUAAAGUGGUUCCAGUGCACCUGAGUUAUGAGAAUCGUACCCUGGAGACUUUCGCCCUCUUGGAUGAUGGGUCUGAGAGAACGAUCCUGCUUUCCACUGCCGUUGAAGCCCUGGGGAUUCAGGGUGUUCCUGAAGACCUUCCAUUACGGACGGUCAGAGACGAUGUUCAGGUCAUUCGUGGUUGUUCCAUAUCCUUCCAGAUUUCUCCCGUCUACCGACCGCAGAUCAGUUAUCAGAUCAGUCACGCCUUUACUGCUGAUCGCCUUAACCUGUCGCGCCAGUCCUAUCCGGUGGAUCAGUUGCGGCGGAAGUACAGACACUUGAGGGGCCUUCCUAUUCGUACCCUUACUGAGGUCCAGCCCUUGCUCCUUAUCGGUUCUGACCAGCCCCACCUUAUCACCCCUACUGAGCCAGUUCGAUGGGGCGGCCCAGGAGCUCCAGUUGCAGUUCGUACCCGCCUAGGAUGGACACUUCAGGGUCCUGUUCCUUCCGUAGGUGGUCCUUCCACCCCUCGCCAGUGCAUGCUUACCUCUUUGGUUCCUGUCCAGGAUGAGCUCCUACACCACGUACAGAGAUUGUGGCAGUUGGAUACAGUUCCUCACCGGGAGUGUAAAGAAGUUACCCGUUCCAAGCAAGACCAGGAAGCCCUUCAGCUACUUGACCGCAAGACCCUUACCCUUGAGAUUGAGGGUGUUCGUCGCCUUGCCACUCCCCUUCUUCGUCAUAAAGACAUGCCUUUGUUAAAUGCUACGAGAGAUUCAGUCUUGUCUAAUCUCCGCAGUGUGGAACGGCGUCUGUUGAAGGAUCCUGAGAAGGCCGAGACCUACCGAGCAGAGAUGCGUAAACUCCUUGAAAUUGGAGCGGUCUGUGUAGUGCCUGAUCCUGUUCCUGAUACCCCUGAGUGUUGGUACAUUCCGCACCACAUUGUUAGCCACAAUGGGAAGUCUCGUCUCGUCUUCAAUUGUUCCCAUCAGCACCGAGGUCAGAGCCUUAACCAGUACCUUUUGCCCGGACCAACCCUCGGACCUUCGUUGUUAGGUGUCCUCCUUCGUUUUCGGGAGCAUCCUGUAGCUGUGAGCGGAGAUAUUAAGGCGAUGUUCCACCAGGUUCGCCUCCUACCUGAAGAUCGUCCUCUGCUCCGCUUCCUAUGGCAAGAUCUGCAGAUGAAUGAGGCUCCUCGGACCUUCGAGUGGUUGGUCCUACCCUUCGGCACCACCUCCAGCCCUUGCUGUGCUAUCUACGCACUCCAGCGCCACACUCGUCAGCACUCCUUAACAGAUGAGGAGAUUCGUUACUCUGUAGAAAGAUGUUUCUACGUAGAUAAUUGCCUCCAGAGCCUACCUACUGCUGAUGCAGCCCGGAGUCUGAUAGAUCGCCUGCGCACUGUCCUUUCUGGGGCUGGAUUUGAGAUCCGGCAUUGGGCCUGUAACGAUCCAACUGUAUUAAGCCACCUACCUCCUGAGGCUAGAGCGACUAGUGUGGAGUUGUGGCUGACGCAGGAGAAGGCCGAUGUUCCUGAGUCCACAUUAGGUUUGAGUUGGAAUUGGCAGUCUGAUACCUUGUCCUAUAAGCACAGACCCGUGAUCUAUGAGACCCCAACCUUGCGGAAUAUUUAUAGGGUCCUUGCUAGUCAGUAUGACCCUCUGGGACUGCUCCUUCCUUACACAACCCGUGCGAAGGUGAUCGUGAAGCACCUUUGGAACAAACAGAGAGAGUGGGAUGAUCCCAACCUACCUCCGGACCUUCUCCAUUCCUGGAUACAGUGGGAAGAGGAACUUCGCGGCCUUCCUAGUGUCUUUUUUCCUCGGCGUUAUGUUCCUCCUGCAGUAGGGAUUGAUGGAGUUACUCACGAGGUCCACAUCUUCUCAGAUGCCUCUGAGCAAGCCUACGGAGCCGUAGCUUAUCUGCGUACUGUCGAUCCAGCUGGUCAGACCUACCUCUCCUUCCUCAUUGCUCGGUCCCGAGUUACCCCUAAGAGAGUACACUCUAUUCCUCGAUUGGAGCUCUGUGGGAGCUUAGUCGCAGCCCAGCUUGCGAAGUUGCUGGCAAAUGAGUUGACCUUGACGAUUCAGUCUACUGUGCUGUGGACAGAUUCUACGACGGUCCUUCAGUGGUUAAAGUCAGAGUCCUGUCGCUACAGAGUCUUCGUUGGCAAUAGGAUAGCUGAGAUUCAAGAGCUUACCGAUCAGUGCUCGUGGCGUUAUGUUGGUUCUGCAGAUAACCCUGCCGAUGACCUCACCAAGGGGAGAUCUCUGUCCUACCUCGCUUCCCCGAACCGGUGGUCCCGAGGACCCCCUUUCCUUCUCCUUGACCUUCAAGAAUGGCCGGUCCUUCGUACUUCUGAGGCUGGUGAAGAGCUAGCAGAGUUGCGCAAGUCGACCUUCUGUGGAGUUGUUACCUCACCAAACACCUCUGGCCACCCUGAUAAAUGGAGUUACCCUACCUGGAUAGACCUGCUGGAUGUCACUGCCCGAGACCUACGAGGUGACUCAGAUCCUAGCACUGUUCUUGAAGCCACAGAUUAUCAACGAGCCGAAGUUCAUGUCCUUAAAUGCAUCCAACUGGAAUCCUUCCCGGAAGAUUACCACCUGUUGGAAUCCGGGAAGACAGUGAAACCUAGUAGCCGUCUAGUUGCCUUGGCACCCGAGAUGGAUCCUUCUAACGGCUUGAUUAGAGUGGGCGGUUGUUUGAGGAGAGUGGCUGACCUUGCAGAUUCUGUUGUCCAUCCUGUAGUCCUAGACUCUAGGCAUCCAGUCACUCGCCUGAUAAUCCACCAUUACGACAACCAGUUGCAUCACCCUGGAGCAGAACGGCUGUUUGCUGAGAUAAGGAGGCAUUAUUGGGUCCUGCGAGGCCGUGAAGCUGUUCGGCGGUUUCAGCAUACCUGUCUGGAAUGUCGCAGAUGGAGAGGCCAACCUUCAGUGCCUCAGAUGUCUGAUCUACCCUCCGCCCGCCUUCAGCUUCACAAGCCUGCCUUCCAUUCAUGUGGGAUGGAUUGCUUCGGUCCUUUCCUAAUCAAGAUUGGUAGACGUACAGAGAAGCGUUGGGGUGUUCUGUUUAAGUGUCUUACCACUAGAGCCGUACACUUAGACUUACUCCCUAGCCUGAGUACGGAUUCCUUUCUUAUGGCCCUUCGGAGGUUCAUCGCUAAGAGAGGCACCCCAGCACAGUUAUGGUCAGAUCGAGGGACCAAUUUCCGUGGAGGCGAGCGGGAGUUGCGAGAAGCAUAUGCCACCUUAGCUCCUGAUCUGCAGCGUCAUCUUGCGCGCCAGAAGAUCAGCUUCUGCUUCAAUCCACCAUCAGCCCCUCACUUUGGUGGAGUUUGGGAGAGGGAGGUGAGAUCUGUCAAGUCAGCCUUGUACACCGUUUUGGGUUCCCAGUCGGUUCCUGAGGAGGUCCUGAUGACGGUCUUGUUGGAAGUCGAGGCUAUCCUUAACUCAAAACCUUUGGGUUACGUAUCCUCCGACGUGGCGGAUGCUGACCCAGUGACCCCCAGUAGUCUCCUAAUGGGGCGGCCUGAUGGAUCCUUGCCUCAAGUAAUUUACCCAGAAUCAGAGAUGUUAAGCCGCCGAAGAUGGAAACAUUCCCAGAUCCUAGCCGAUCGAUUCUGGUCUCGAUUCAUCCGGGAUUAUCUUCCUAGCUUGCAGACCAGGCAGAAAUGGCAAGCCUCGCCUCCUGACCUCCGAGAGCAUACCUAUGUCAUGAUUGUCGACCCUCAGUUGCCCAGAGGUUUGUGGCCUGUAGGUAAAGUCAUUCAGACCCAUCUCAGUCCCGAUGGCCACAUUAGGUCCGCAGAUGUGCAGAUCAAGGAUCAUAUCUAUACCAGACCAGUGGCCCGUCUGGUGGUUCUACCAACCUUGCCUUCAGAUGAUCCUGGAGUUCCGAACCCUCCAGAAUAGAGUCGCCUUUCUUGAAUACAAAGAUGCUUCUCAUCUUUGGGGGCGGCUGUUGUAAAGGCUCCUUUAAGAGAGGGCUUUUAUUCUGACAUCAUAUGAGCGGUCUCGUUAGUUCAGCCGCUGUUGCCUGUUGAAGUGUACAUCUGUCGAGUCGAUCGCUGAAAGGACAUUUCUACUUGUUCAGUUGCGAUAUUUCCUGCAGCUGUUACCUCAAGGUGUUAGUUAUUGACCUACAAACUAACGCCUCUACUGCCUGUAAAUUGAUAAUAUUCUAUCAAUACAUCAUCGAAACCCAGUCACCUGUCUCCUCAUCCUUUAUAUUAUAUUGUGCUCUAACCGGCACCCAGGGGGUUCGCUCAUCCAAUUGCAAAUCAGAUCCUGACAGUCAAAGUCUC